Molecule: ribosomal RNA, 2923 nt
Filed under: Klebsiella pneumoniae
Lineage: Bacteria; Pseudomonadati; Pseudomonadota; Gammaproteobacteria; Enterobacterales; Enterobacteriaceae
Description: bacterial LSU rRNA
Rfam family: Bacterial large subunit ribosomal RNA
Source: RNAcentral
GGGUUGUGAGGUUAAGCGACUAAGCGUACACGGUGGAUGCCCUGGCAGUCAGAGGCGAUGAAGGACGUGCUAAUCUGCGAAAAGCGUCGGUAAGGUGAUAUGAACCGUUACAGCCGGCGAUGUCCGAAUGGGGAAACCCAGUGCAAUUCGUUGCACUAUCGUUAACUGAAUACAUAGGUUAACGAGGCGAACCGGGGGAACUGAAACAUCUAAGUACCCCGAGGAAAAGAAAUCAACCGAGAUUCCCCCAGUAGCGGCGAGCGAACGGGGAGCAGCCCAGAGUCUGAAUCAGCUUGUGUGUUAGUGGAACGGUCUGGAAAGUCCGACGGUACAGGGUGAUAGUCCCGUACACCAAAAUGCACAGGCUGUGAACUCGAAGAGUAGGGCGGGACACGUGGUAUCCUGUCUGAAUAUGGGGGGACCAUCCUCCAAGGCUAAAUACUCCUGACUGACCGAUAGUGAACCAGUACCGUGAGGGAAAGGCGAAAAGAACCCCGGCGAGGGGAGUGAAAAAGAACCUGAAACCGUGUACGUACAAGCAGUGGGAGCACCUUCGGGUGUGACUGCGUACCUUUUGUAUAAUGGGUCAGCGACUUAUAUUCUGUAGCAAGGUUAACCGUAUAGGGGAGCCGCAGGGAAACCGAGUCUUAACUGGGCGUUAAGUUGCAGGGUAUAGACCCGAAACCCGGUGAUCUAGCCAUGGGCAGGUUGAAGGUUGGGUAACACUAACUGGAGGACCGAACCGACUAAUGUUGAAAAAUUAGCGGAUGACUUGUGGCUGGGGGUGAAAGGCCAAUCAAACCGGGAGAUAGCUGGUUCUCCCCGAAAGCUAUUUAGGUAGCGCCUCGUGAAUUCAUCUUCGGGGGUAGAGCACUGUUUCGGCUAGGGGGUCAUCCCGACUUACCAACCCGAUGCAAACUACGAAUACCGAAGAAUGUUAUCACGGGAGACACACGGCGGGUGCUAACGUCCGUCGUGAAGAGGGAAACAACCCAGACCGCCAGCUAAGGUCCCAAAGUCAUGGUUAAGUGGGAAACGAUGUGGGAAGGCACAGACAGCCAGGAUGUUGGCUUAGAAGCAGCCAUCAUUUAAAGAAAGCGUAAUAGCUCACUGGUCGAGUCGGCCUGCGCGGAAGAUGUAACGGGGCUAAACCAUGCACCGAAGCUGCGGCAGCGACACUAUGUGUUGUUGGGUAGGGGAGCGUUCUGUAAGCCUGCGAAGGUGACCUGUGAGGGUUGCUGGAGGUAUCAGAAGUGCGAAUGCUGACAUAAGUAACGAUAAAGCGGGUGAAAAGCCCGCUCGCCGGAAGACCAAGGGUUCCUGUCCAACGUUAAUCGGGGCAGGGUGAGUCGACCCCUAAGGCGAGGCCGAAAGGCGUAGUCGAUGGGAAACAGGUUAAUAUUCCUGUACUUGGUGUUACUGCGAAGGGGGGACGGAGAAGGCUAUGUUAGCCGGGCGACGGUUGUCCCGGUUUAAGCAUGUAGGCUGGUUAUCCAGGCAAAUCCGGAUAAUCAAGGCUGAGGUGUGAUGACGAGGCACUACGGUGCUGAAGUAACAAAUGCCCUGCUUCCAGGAAAAGCCUCUAAGCAUCAGGUAACAUCAAAUCGUACCCCAAACCGACACAGGUGGUCAGGUAGAGAAUACCAAGGCGCUUGAGAGAACUCGGGUGAAGGAACUAGGCAAAAUGGUGCCGUAACUUCGGGAGAAGGCACGCUGGUGUGUAGGUGAAGCCCCUGCGGGUGGAGCUGAGACCAGUCGAAGAUACCAGCUGGCUGCAACUGUUUAUUAAAAACACAGCACUGUGCAAACACGAAAGUGGACGUAUACGGUGUGACGCCUGCCCGGUGCCGGAAGGUUAAUUGAUGGGGUUAUCCGUAAGGAGAAGCUCUUGAUCGAAGCCCCGGUAAACGGCGGCCGUAACUAUAACGGUCCUAAGGUAGCGAAAUUCCUUGUCGGGUAAGUUCCGACCUGCACGAAUGGCGUAAUGAUGGCCAGGCUGUCUCCACCCGAGACUCAGUGAAAUUGAACUCGCUGUGAAGAUGCAGUGUACCCGCGGCAAGACGGAAAGACCCCGUGAACCUUUACUAUAGCUUGACACUGAACAUUGAGCCUUGAUGUGUAGGAUAGGUGGGAGGCUUUGAAGCGUGGACGCCAGUCUGCGUGGAGCCAACCUUGAAAUACCACCCUUUAAUGUUUGAUGUUCUAACGUUGGCCCCUUACCGGGGUUGCGGACAGUGUCUGGUGGGUAGUUUGACUGGGGCGGUCUCCUCCCAAAGCGUAACGGAGGAGCACGAAGGUUAGCUAAUCCUGGUCGGACAUCAGGAGGUUAGUGCAAUGGCAUAAGCUAGCUUGACUGCGAGCGUGACGGCGCGAGCAGGUGCGAAAGCAGGUCAUAGUGAUCCGGUGGUUCUGAAUGGAAGGGCCAUCGCUCAACGGAUAAAAGGUACUCCGGGGAUAACAGGCUGAUACCGCCCAAGAGUUCAUAUCGACGGCGGUGUUUGGCACCUCGAUGUCGGCUCAUCACAUCCUGGGGCUGAAGUAGGUCCCAAGGGUAUGGCUGUUCGCCAUUUAAAGUGGUACGCGAGCUGGGUUUAGAACGUCGUGAGACAGUUCGGUCCCUAUCUGCCGUGGGCGCUGGAGAAUUGAGGGGGGCUGCUCCUAGUACGAGAGGACCGGAGUGGACGCAUCACUGGUGUUCGGGUUGUCAUGCCAAUGGCACUGCCCGGUAGCUAAAUGCGGAAGAGAUAAGUGCUGAAAGCAUCUAAGCACGAAACUUGCCCCGAGAUGAGUUCUCCCUGAGACUUUAAGUCUCCUGAAGGAACGUUAAAGACGAUGACGUUGAUAGGCCGGGUGUGUAAGCGCAGCGAUGCGUUGAGCUAACCGGUACUAAUGAACCGUGAGGCUUAACCUUACAACGCCGAAG